RNAcentral lists this ribosomal RNA (852 nucleotides) under uncultured soil bacterium. Its description in RNAcentral is "bacterial SSU rRNA". It matches the Rfam family "Bacterial small subunit ribosomal RNA", at positions 26 to 897 of the family's 1533-position model. The record is from RNAcentral.
AGGACGAACGCUGGCGGCGUGCUUAACACAUGCAAGUCGAGCGGAAAGGCCCUUCGGGGUACUCGAGCGGCGAACGGGUGAGUAACACGUGAGCAACCUGCCCUUAGCUCUGGGAUAGCUCCGGGAAACCGGAAUUAAUACCGGAUAUGACCCUGACCGACAUCUGUCAGGGUGGAAAGGAUUCCGGCUAGGGAUGGACUCGCGGCCUAUCAGCUUGUUGGCGGGGUAACGGCCCACCAAGGCUACGACGGAUAGCUGGUCUGAGAGGACGAUCAGCCACACUGGAACUGAGACACGGUCCAGACUCCUACGGGAGGCAGCAGUGGGGAAUCUUGCGCAAUGGACGAAAGUCUGACGCAGCAACGCCGCGUGAGGGACGAAGGCUUUCUGAGUUGUAAACCUCUUUCGACAGGAACGAUUGUGACGGUACCUGUAGAAGAAGCACCGGCCAACUAUGUGCCAGCAGCCGCGGUGAUACAUAGGGUGCGAGCGUUAUUCGGAUUUAUUGGGCGUAAAGAGCUCGUAGGCGGUUCGACAAGUCGGGUGUUAAACCCCCAGGCUCAACCUGGGGCCGCCACCCGAAACUGUCGUGACUAGAGUUUGGUAGGGGAUCACGGAAUUCCUGGUGUAGCGGUGGAAUGCGCAGAUAUCAGGAGGAACACCAGUAGCGAAGGCGGUGAUCUGGGCCAAUACUGACGCUGAGGAGCGAAAGCGUGGGGAGCGAACAGGAUUAGAUACCCUGGUAGUCCACGCCGUAAACGGUGGGCACUAGGUGUGGGGACUUUUCAACGGUUUCCGCGCCGCAGCUAACGCAUUAAGUGCCCCGCCUGGGGAGUACGGUCGCAAGACUAA